CUGCUCCUCCCACCCCCAUCCACCGAAACCCUAAGGAGAAUCCCCGUCCACUCGGCGUCUAAUAACCCACUCCCCGCUCCGCACAAUUAACAGUCUUCAUACCUACCCAGCCCUUUUAUGAAGCUGAUCACACAGGACCGUCUCCAACAAGCUGCUGUAAUCUCCAUGGGCCUGAAAAGGAACCCACACUCCCAGUCUGGGACGGUUACACAGACUAGGUUCCAAAGCAGAACAGAAGGCUGGACUCCAUGAUCCCGCGGCUCUCUGCCACCAUCAAGUGUCUCGGCCACAAGAUACCAAUCAUCAGACAACAUUUGGGAAAUGCCAGGGAGAAAGAAGUAGAAAAAGGAACUAACAUUAGUGAGACAUGGACCUGGAUUCAGGACUUCAGUAAAUAUUUGAUACUGAUCUCAAAGAAGCCGGAAUCCUGCUGGCUGGCCAUGUCGGCGGCAUACAAAGAGGCUCCUCGGACCGGACUGGGAGCCGCUGAGGAGCAGGUACCGGGCGUGGAGAUGUGCCUGUCACAGGUAUGAUCACUUGUUUAUAGUUACCUACCAACAAAGGCUGAAGGACUAGGAAUCAAGAAGCUUAUUCUGCUCCUAAUUCUGACCCUGAUACUCUGACCUUGGACAAGUUACUUUUCUACCAAAUGAAGGAUGUUGCUUCUUACCACCAAACUGCCUCAUCUCUUGGACAGCCCAGCCUUUGAGUUUCCAUACUAUUGGGAGGAACCACGCAUGAUGAAAGCAGGACUCUGGGCAAUAAACUAUUUUAUGAGAUGAUGACACAGACAUACACGGAGAAAAGAUCACGUGAAGACACAGGGAGAAGACGGCCAUCUGCAAGCCGAGAAGUAACCAAUCCCGACAACGCAUUGAUCUUGGACUUCCAGCCUCCAGACCUCUGAGCCAACUUCUGCUGCUCGCCGCACCCAAGAUGUGGUACUUUGUUACGGCAAACUAGUGUGUGUGUUUAACAUUUGCUGGCUCCCAUCAACUCGACUUCCGAAUUGCUAACAUCCUGCUGGGUGCCAAGAGUAACACGACGCAUGGAGCCACAAUGGCAACUUCCACAGCCCAACACAUGUCUGGGCAAACUCCUUCCAGCCACCAUCACUACCACCACUAUCCUUUCUCGGCCACCUCCUGGACCACUCCCCUGAUGCCUCCCUUCCAACGUAUUAUGUUCGUUGCUACCUCCAAACUGUGCAUUCAUGGUGGCUCUCGGACAGAUAUGAGAUCCAGAUAUGAAUAUUAAAAUAUGGAUUUUUUAAAAAGAAAUUAUAUGGGUAGGUGAAUUGUAUUAUCUUUCAAUUUCAUUUCAGAAAAAUAAAGGGGAUGUGACAAAAUAUUUGUAAUAAAAGGGAAGUGGAGUCUAAGAGGUUGAGAAUCACUAGUUCUAGGCUCCAAAAAAAUUUAAAGACAAAAUUCCUGAUACUAACAGGUUAAAUUCCUUUUUUCGAGUUUUUCCCCUUUUAUCUCUGCAUGGCACGAUGGGGCUUCCUACAGUCAGCUGUGCUUCUGCGCCUUGGACAUUUUCAGCAGCUCCCAUUUGACCUCUGAGUUCUCCCUGCAGUGAGUGACAUCGGUGUGGAUUUGGGAAAAGAGAAUAAAGGCAGACAUAGAUGAAGAGAGAAAAAUUUUACCAUAAACUGCCACGUAGAACAAGCCAUUACAGUCCACCUAAGAGGAAUGAAAAAAAUCACUCAAGAGAGGAGUCAGAAGAUCUGGGUUGCUUCUGAGUCGGAGAGCAUCCCGGCCUGUGGUCCAUUUCCGAGGUGACACUUGAUGCCUUCUGUGGCCGCCAGGAGAAGUCACUCAGCAGCUUAAUCUAUGCAACCAGGCCACUGUGUCAUGGCCUGGCCGUGACACUCACCAAUGUGCAGGAGACGAGAUUUGAUUUACUGUGUUCUUCUAAGUCACAUUCUAGAAUAUUCUGGGAGAAAACGUGACCCCUAGAGGAGAGGUUUUCUCAUGGACAAAUAAGGUAAUCUUUACGAACAGGGAGCAUAUUUCCCGUCAGCCUGGCCUCUGCUCUUAGAAGAAUUUAUUCUAUGUGAUUAAGAAUUCAUCUCAAAAUGCUCCCGCACACUCGGCUGAGUGAGGAUGCCAGCACAGCCCUGGGAGUAGAGAUUCUCCAUUAAAUGCUAUCUUAGGGGCGAGCAAGAAAGUGCUCUAAAGUUGUUUUUCAAUGGUGUACCCCCUUACCCCCUUUUCCAGAGGAAACACAAAACUCACAAAAUAUCUGUCAAGAAGCAAAAUACAAUCUACGUAUUUUAAAAAGAAUCUAAAAGUAAUUCUUAUCAGAAAAUGGCAUGGUAAUUUCAAGGAAAAAUAGAAUUUAGGCCUCAUCUAUGUAUUAAAGCUGAAUUAUAAGAGAAAAUUACAAUAACGCCUGAUACGAGGUGAUUCAAGAUAUUUUCAUGAGCCCAUGACUACGUUAUGUGGUCUGAGGUUCCUAUAUUUUAUAUAUUUUAAGUAGAGGAAAAAUUCAACCCAUUUUGCAAAUUAGGAGAGUGGGGCUCGGAAAAACCAGUUCCUCCUUUGAAAUGGGCAGUAGAAAGACGGCCCGAAGGCGAAAGCCCAUCUCAUACAUUUGAAGGGCUGGGGAUCCCCCCUUUAGGACUGCCAGCCUGUGUCGUGCUGUCCACGGGGACACGCUGUCCACGGGGACAUGCUGUCCAUGGGUACGUGGCAGGCUCCGGCCACAGGCUCAGCUGAGCACACACUUCCUGACAAACACCAUGGGCAGACGCCCCAAAGUGGUGUCCGGAGUCCUCCGGCCCAGCUAGGAGUCCUGCUCCGUCCCAUCCUAGCCACAUCCCUGGGAACAUCACUAAACCCUCCUGAGCCCUAGGUUUCUAUAAACUGAGAUCCUAGUAACAGUCUAUCUCAAAGGGUCAUAAUGAGGAUUAUAUUGAUCCACAGUAAAAACUUGAAAACGCCAUUCAUCCUUCUUACUCCUUUUGCAAAACCGGAAAUCUCUCUCGUCACCAAAUACACUUCUAACAUAAAAAAUAAAACCCUCUCAUCACCAAAUCUACUUCUAGCAUAAAAAAUAAACCUACUCAGGACUGUCAAGGCAGAACUGAAACAGGAGAAAGGAUCUGAUUAUAAAUGACGUUAAGAAAAGACACGGGCAUGUGCACAGAUCCCGGGGUUUUACACUUCAUGAAUUCAUGUUACAGACACAAGCCGAGACUCACUGGCAAGGAGAAAUAGGUCCUUGACUAAAACCCAGGUCCCUACCAGAGAACAAGCCAGCCGAGGGGAGGGCCAGGGGCCCCCGGGUGUUCACAGAUCCCAGCCUCCCACUGGAUUGCUGGAACCUUAAGAUGUACAGGCCUUCAUGGCCUUUACACUGUCUGCAUCUCUUGACUAUUUGAUUUAGUUAUUGUAUUAUCUGCUUGGAUAAAUGUCUUUUGCAAAGUCACAACUGAUUUGUUUUCCUGUUAUUUCUUCAUAUUCUAAUGUCCUUUUGAGAAAGUCAUAAAAGGCUGCAGACUCCAGCUUCUGGGGAUAACUCUCAAGACUAACUUUCCCAUAACACAAGCUCAUUCACCGCAAC
Molecule: RNA transcript, 3567 nt
Organism: Camelus dromedarius (Arabian camel)
Lineage: Eukaryota; Metazoa; Chordata; Mammalia; Artiodactyla; Camelidae
Exons: 10
Source: RefSeq, a predicted model, not a curated record